Molecule: ribosomal RNA, 273 nt
Filed under: uncultured prokaryote
Description: partial 16S ribosomal RNA
Rfam family: Bacterial small subunit ribosomal RNA
Source: RNAcentral
UACGUAGGGUGCAGGCGUUAAUCGGAAUUACUGGGCGUAAAGCGUGCGCAGGCGGUUUGCUAAGACAGGUGUGAAAUCCCCGGGCUUAACCUGGGAAUUGCGCUUGUAACUGGCAGGCUAGAGUGUGGCAGAGGGGGGUGGAAUUCCACGUGUAGCAGUGAAAUGCGUAGAUAUGUGGAGGAACACCGAUGGCGAAGGCAGCCCCCUGGGUCAACACUGACGCUCAGGCACGAAAGCGUGGGGAGCAAACAGGAUUAGAAACCCUGGUAGUCC